Molecule: ribosomal RNA, 458 nt
Filed under: Lancefieldella rimae
Lineage: Bacteria; Bacillati; Actinomycetota; Coriobacteriia; Coriobacteriales; Atopobiaceae
Description: bacterial SSU rRNA
Rfam family: Bacterial small subunit ribosomal RNA
Source: RNAcentral
GAUGAACGCUGGCGGCGCGCCUAACACAUGCAAGUCGAACGGUUAAAGCACCUUUUAGGUGUGUAUAAAGUGGCGAACGGCUGAGUAACACGUGGGCAACCUGCCCUCCUCUUGGGGAUAGCCUCGGGAAACCGAGGAUAAUACCCGAUACUUCAAUGUGGCCGCAUGACGACAUUGAGAAAGCUUUUGCGGAGAAGGAUGGGCCCGCGGCCUGUUAGCUUGUUGGUGGGGUAGAGGCCUACCAAGGCAAUGAUGGGUAGCUGGGUUGAGAGACCGACCAGCCAGAUUGGGACUGAGACACGGCCCAGACUCCUACGGGAGGCAGCAGUGGGGAAUCUUGCACAAUGGGCGAAAGCCUGAUGCAGCGACGCCGCGUGCGGGAAGAAGGCCUUCGGGUUGUAAACCGCUUUCAGCAGGGACGAGGCGAAAGUGACGGUACCUGCAGAAGAAGCCCGGCU